Myotis myotis is the source of this 1835-nucleotide long non-coding RNA. RefSeq lists it as uncharacterized. The record is from RefSeq and is a predicted model, not a curated record. NCBI's taxonomy places the organism in Eukaryota, Metazoa, Chordata, Mammalia, Chiroptera, Vespertilionidae. The transcript is spliced from 3 exons.
GGAGCCAAAGGGGAGGACAAGACCGCGGGAGCGACCCUCGCGGCCCGAGCUGCCCCCGAAGGACUCACUCCGACACCGGCCAGCUCUGAGUGCGCUCAGCUCCGCGGACGUAGAGCCAGGACGCCGCACCCCCUACGGUCCAACAGCUCCCGCCCAGGGACCAACAUGGCAACCUCGGACCCACACACUCGUGCACACCGAUACUCAGAAGGAGCUUGGAUAGGACCGCCCUCCACUCGCCACAGCCAAACCUACGGCUGCUCCACCCUCCUUGACAGGAAAGACUAGGAGCUCCCCGGGGAGGGACCCAUGCCAGCAUGCUGCCUGGAAUACAGUAGGUGCUCAAUCAGUGUUUACUGGAUGAACUGUCUGUCUCCUUGUCUGCAUCCCCAGCCCCUUGGAUUCUUUCUGAGGGUUGGGUCGGGGUCUGAGCUGCCUCAGGGUUCCCAGCACCAUCUCCAAGGAGCACAGAGAAUGUUUGUUAAAUGAACGAGGGAGGGAGGAGGCAGCUGCAUCCAUUGCUAGGGCAGAUCCAGUGCCCCCAGGCUUUUCCUACUUUGAAUGGAAAUCUCCCCAAAUCAAGCCCUGGUCCCUGACUCCCAGGCUCCCCUGUCUUGGUCCUGUGCACCCCCCGCCCUGUCCUCAAUUGCUGACCUUCCCUGAGCCUGGUCUCCCUCAGAACCAUCCUUUCUUUACUUCUCCAUCCAUCACUUAAACUUCCUUUCCUCCAGCCCCUCCCUCCCUCACCCAGCUCCACUGCCUCAUCACAUCACCAUAAUUCAGAGACACGCCCCCGCCCCCCUCUACCUCCACUUUUCUGGCUCCUCCUCCUCCUCUCCAGUCCCCGAAUGUUGGUGUUCUAGGACUCUAUUCAGCUCCCUUCUUACUUUCUUCUUCAAAAUCCCAUCCACCCCCUCAGAUUCCAGCCAAAGGUGAGGUAACCACGCCCCAGGCUUUGCACCUUUUCCAAAAACCCUUCCUGGAUGUCUCCCGACCCUGUGGACUCCUCACUCCCACCAGGUGGAGGGCUCCACCCCAGGUCAGGACCCCGCCUGCCUCCACCCAGGUCUACUAUCAGGAUGGAAUCUGAGUAAAGGGGUUUGUUUGGGCUGUGGGUAACAAAGAUUAAAAAACAACAACUCUAGGGCUUUGAAAAAGUAGAUACUUAUCUCUCAGGCAAAGAUCUGCACUUAGUGGCCCCAAACUGGAAUGGUCAAAGACCCAAGCUGCUGCCCGGCUGGCGUGGCUCAGUAGUUGAGUGUCGACCUAUGAACCAGGUCACAGUUUGAUUCCCGGUCAGGGCACAUGCCCGGGUUGCAGGCUCGAUCCCCAGUGUGGGGCAUGCAGGAGGCAACCGAUCAAUGAUUCUCUCUCAUCGAUGUUUCUAUCUCUCCUCCCUUCCUCUCUGAAAUCAAUAAAAAUAUUUUUUUUUAAAAAAGAACUAGCCUUUUUCUUCUGACAUCACCAUGUGUCUAUCUCACCUUAGCCCCCAAAAUCAAAGUUCCUUUUGUCCAAAUUGUGAGCCUCUCCAGCCACAGCACUUGUAGUGGAUUCCAAGGUGGGCCGGGCCUGGUUCUCCCACUUCCUCCGCCAGCUGCAAGACACCUCCAUGGAGUUUAGCUCCUCCGCCCUUCUCUGAGUGCCCAUUGCCCAACAGCCUUGGCUAAAAGGAAGAUAUUGAAUCAGUUAUAUAGGCCUUCCUUGCCCUAUCGCUCUGCCCAUCCCUCUCCUCCCGCUACCUUCUGAAAAGGGAGACUUCGCCAUGCCGGUUCUGUCACGUGCAGGGUCUGUGUGGUAUACCAGCAGCCAAGGGCAGGCCGGACUGCUCCACAGGA